UACGGAGGGUGCAAGCGUUAUCCGGAUUCACUGGGUUUAAAGGGUGCGUAGGCGGGCAGUUAAGUCAGUGGUGAAAGCCCGGAGCUCAACUUCGGAACUGCCAUUGAUACUGAUAGACUUGAGUACAGAUGAAGUGGGCGGAAUGUGACAAGUAGCGGUGAAAUGCUUAGAUAUGUCACAGAACACCGAUUGCGAAGGCAGCUCACUAAAGUGUAACUGACGCUGAGGCACGAAAGCGUGGGGAUCAAACAGG
RNAcentral lists this ribosomal RNA (253 nucleotides) under uncultured bacterium. RNAcentral's name for it is "partial 16S ribosomal RNA". It matches the Rfam family "Bacterial small subunit ribosomal RNA", at positions 524 to 776 of the family's 1533-position model. The record is from RNAcentral.